AAAAUGGUGGCCGAAUUAGGUGUUAGUCUCUUAAAUUAAUUAUGAAUGGUUUAGUUAAUAAUAAUA
This 66-nucleotide transfer RNA is filed under the name Oxyopes licenti. Its description in RNAcentral is "tRNA-Lys". Lineage: Eukaryota; Metazoa; Arthropoda; Arachnida; Araneae; Oxyopidae. The record is from RNAcentral.